UUGCUGGGUGGAUUAGUGGCGAACGGGUGAGUAACACGUGAGUAACCUGCCCUUGACUUCGGGAUAACUCCGGGAAACCGGGGCUAAUACCGGAUAUGAGCCGCCUUCGCAUGGGGGUGGUUGGAAAGUUUUUCGGUCAGGGAUGGGCUCGCGGCCUAUCAGCUUGUUGGUGGGGUGAUGGCCUACCAAGGCGACGACGGGUAGCCGGCCUGAGAGGGCGACCGGCCACACUGGGACUGAGACACGGCCCAGACUCCUACGGGAGGCAGCAGUGGGGAAUAUUGCACAAUGGGCGAAAGCCUGAUGCAGCGACGCCGCGUGAGGGAUGAAGGCCUUCGGGUUGUAAACCUCUUUCAGCAGGGAAGAAGCGCAAGUGACGGUACCUGCAGAAGAAGCGCCGGCUAACUACGUGCCAGCAGCCGCGGUAAUACGUAGGGCGCAAGCGUUGUCCGGAAUUAUUGGGCGUAAAGAGCUCGUAGGCGGUUUGUCGCGUCUGGUGUGAAAACUCGAGGCUCAACCUCGAGCUUGCAUCGGGUACGGGCAGACUAGAGUGCGGUAGGGGAGACUGGAAUUCCUGGUGUAGCGGUGGAAUGCGCAGAUAUCAGGAGGAACACCGAUGGCGAAGGCAGGUCUCUGGGCCGCAACUGACGCUGAGGAGCGAAAGCAUGGGGAGCGAACAGGAUUAGAUACCCUGGUAGUCCAUGCCGUAAACGUUGGGCACUAGGUGUGGGGCUCAUUCCACGAGUUCCGUGCCGCAGCAAACGCAUUAAGUGCCCCGCCUGGGGAGUACGGCCGCAAGGCUAAAACUCAAAGGAAUUGACGGGGGCCCGCACAAGCGGCGGAGCAUGCGGAUUAAUUCGAUGCAACGCGAAGAACCUUACCAAGGCUUGACAUGCACG
This 899-nucleotide ribosomal RNA is filed under the name Cellulosimicrobium sp. RNAcentral's name for it is "bacterial SSU rRNA". It matches the Rfam family "Bacterial small subunit ribosomal RNA", at positions 80 to 992 of the family's 1533-position model. The record is from RNAcentral. Lineage: Bacteria; Bacillati; Actinomycetota; Actinomycetes; Micrococcales; Promicromonosporaceae.